Molecule: long non-coding RNA, 772 nt
Filed under: Manihot esculenta (cassava)
Lineage: Eukaryota; Viridiplantae; Streptophyta; Magnoliopsida; Malpighiales; Euphorbiaceae
Description: long non-coding RNA (MESC_LNC009869)
Source: RNAcentral
UGAACUUCUUUGAUGGUUUUUGAAGGUUUUAUGAAAGUUUGAUGGGUAGUAUGUAUGAUUAGGUUUAGGUGAGGUUUUUGGGAGAUGUAUAUGUUCAAGCAUGUUCAGUGUUGUUUGAUGUGUUUUUGUGAGGUUUUAGGCUAGUUUUGGACCUCUUUGUGCAUGUUUUCUGGUAUGUGCUAGUUGGGAGUAGUUGAGAUGCAUGUUGGGUACAUUUUGGGUAAGGUUUGCAUGAAACAGAGCAGGGUUCUGCCCAACGGGCAAAACCAGGUUCGGCCGCCGAAGGAAGGUUCGGCCGCCGAACCCCUUGUGGAGGCAGUUUCGGCUGCCAAAGCUUGCCCCCGAAACUUGGGACUUUCGUCUCUGGAGGCAAGGUUCGGCCGCCGAAAGUGCCGCCGAAGGUUGAGUUUCGUCUUUGGAUGAGACUUUCGGCCGCCGAAGGUGCCGCCGAACAUGCAUGAGUUUCGUCUCUGGAGAGGGGUUUCGGCCGCCGAACCUGCCGCCGAAAGUGCCCUGUCCAGCUUUUUUUGCAUGUUUUAUGUGCUUGUUAGGGGAUCUUGUAGAGGGUUUUUGGGGAGUUUCGUAGAGAUGUUCGUGAGUUAGUUUGGUCCCUCAUUUGAGUCCACCUGUGUAGGUACGGACCAGAGGAAUCAGGGUGGUCAGCAGUGAGUCCAGUUUCAGAACCUGCCGAGUCAGUUCAGAGUCAACCCGAGGUGAGUGGAACUGAACGUAAUGUUUGAAUAUGAGAAAUGCAUAUUUUAUCAUACUUCAU